UGGUGAAAGUGGAGAUCCUUGUCUCACUCCAGUUCUCGGAGGAAUGCUUUCAACUUUUCUGCAUUCAGUAUGAUGUUGUCUAUGGGUUUGUUAUAUAUGGCUUUUAUUAUUUUGAGGAAUACAUCCAGAUGGCCUGAAGCAAGUGAAGAAUCACAAAAGAAGUGAAAAUGGCCGGUUCCUGCCAUAACUGAUGACAUUACCUUGUGAAAUUCCUUCUCCUGGCUCAGAAGCUCCCCAACUGAGCACCUUGUGACCCCCACCCCUGCCCACCAGGGAACAACCGCCUUUGACUGUAAUUUUCCACUACCUACCCAAAUCCUAUAAAAUGGCCCCACCCCUAUCUCCCUUCCCUGACUCUCUUUUCGGACUCAGCCUGCCUGCACCCAGGUGAUUAAAAAGUUUUAUU
RNAcentral lists this long non-coding RNA (406 nucleotides) under Homo sapiens (human). RNAcentral's name for it is "HSALNT0407167". Lineage: Eukaryota; Metazoa; Chordata; Mammalia; Primates; Hominidae. The record is from RNAcentral.